This 658-nucleotide ribosomal RNA is filed under the name uncultured bacterium. Its description in RNAcentral is "bacterial SSU rRNA". It matches the Rfam family "Bacterial small subunit ribosomal RNA", at positions 51 to 706 of the family's 1533-position model. The record is from RNAcentral.
ACACAUGCAGUCGAGCGGUAACAGAUCCAGCUUGCUGGAUGCUGACGAGCGGCGGACGGGUGAGUAAUGCAUAGGAAUCUGCCCGAUAGUGGGGGAUAACCUGGGGAAACCCAGGCUAAUACCGCAUACGUCCUACGGGAGAAAGGGGGCUCCGGCUCCCGCUAUGGGAUGAGCCUAUGUCGGAUUAGCUAGUUGGUGAGGUAACGGCUCACCAAGGCCACGAUCCGUAGCUGGUCUGAGAGGAUGAUCAGCCACAUCGGGACUGAGACACGGCCCGAACUCCUACGGGAGGCAGCAGUGGGGAAUAUUGGACAAUGGGGGAAACCCUGAUCCAGCCAUGCCGCGUGUGUGAAGAAGGCCCUCGGGUUGUAAAGCACUUUCAGCGAGGAAGAACGCCUAGCGGUUAAUACCCGCUAGGAAAGACAUCACUCGCAGAAGAAGCACCGGCUAACUCCGUGCCAGCAGCCGCGGUAAUACGGAGGGUGCAAGCGUUAAUCGGAAUUACUGGGCGUAAAGCGCGCGUAGGUGGCUUGAUAAGCCGGUUGUGAAAGCCCCGGGCUCAACCUGGGAACGGCAUCCGGAACUGUCAAGCUAGAGUGCAGGAGAGGAAGGUAGAAUUCCCGGUGUAGCGGUGAAAUGCGUAGAGAUCGGGGAGGAA